CUCAUCCCAUUCACCCACAGAAUCUGCUUCGCUACUCUCAACUGGUACUCACCUUUCUCCUUCACAAACACUGCUUGUGUUAUCUGAGAAUUUGUGGUUCCAGACAUUUGGUUUCCUUCUCCAUUCUGAUUAGGAGGGGAAGCCUCUGCCUUCACCGCUAGAGGAUAGAUAUCCAUCUCACCCUCUUUCAUUAAUUCACUCUCCUCAAAAACUGAGAAAUCAAUCCCAGUCCCAGAAGGCUGCCUGAAUUGCUGGCCAAGACCUUGUUGGAAAUUUACUGUCACUGGCGGAAGAAGGUUUUCCUUCAUUGGUGUCAGAAUACAAUCCGCACUUUCUUUUGCAAAGAAAAUAACAGUGAUGCUUCCAGCAACAGUAGCAUCAAACGUGAAAGCAACAAGAAACCUUCCAGGGUUCUCCUCGUCCGGCUCGAGCCUCACACUUUCCUUCUUCAAGUUAACAUCGUUUCUUAUUGUAACAGUCUUCUGGUGCUCCACGUAAGGCGCCGGUGGAGCCAUCAUAGGCCCACACUGGUACCUUCCGCCAACCCAGUGCGCAGGGUCAACGCGGUGAUGAUGAUCAUAAGGAGCCGGUGGCGGCUGAUGAUAGUACCCCGGGUACUGGUAGUACGGUGGUGGAUUAGGAUUGGGGUAUUGCGAGGGGUAAGGAGUGGCCACAGUAAAUACGUACCUGUUAGCGGUGAUUUCCGGCUGUGGAGCGGCUGUUGGAGGCGGAGGCGGAUGGUUACGGCGACUACCAUGCCUCCGGCGCCCGUGGCCACCGCUGCUACCAAUAUUUCCCAUGAGGGAUGCCCGUUACAAAACAGAAAACGGAAUUGGGAAUUCCAGUUCUGUAUGAAUUGUAACAAAGAAAGAAAGUGGAUCUGGAGCAAGAACAACGAUUUUCCAAGAAAACAAAGAAACGGAAGGAAAAGCUUUCCUCGCCGGCAAAGAAAGGAGAGAGAAGGGAAAUGA
Molecule: unclassified non-coding RNA, 971 nt
Filed under: Hevea brasiliensis (rubber tree)
Lineage: Eukaryota; Viridiplantae; Streptophyta; Magnoliopsida; Malpighiales; Euphorbiaceae
Source: RNAcentral